UACGGAGGGUGCAAGCGUUAUCCGGAUUCACUGGGUUUAAAGGGAGCGUAGGAGGGCAGGUAAGUCAGUGGUGAAAUCUUCGAGCUUAACUCGGAAACUGCCGUUGAUACUAUCUGUCUUGAAUGCCGUGGAGAUGAGCGGAAUAUGUCAUGUAGCGGUGAAAAUGCUUAGAUAUGACAUAGAAACACCAAAUUUGCGAAGGCAGCUCGUUACAACGAAACAUUUACUCUGAGGCUCGAAAAGCG
This 245-nucleotide ribosomal RNA is filed under the name uncultured bacterium. RNAcentral's name for it is "partial 16S ribosomal RNA". It matches the Rfam family "Bacterial small subunit ribosomal RNA", at positions 524 to 762 of the family's 1533-position model. The record is from RNAcentral.